This 393-nucleotide ribosomal RNA is filed under the name uncultured bacterium. RNAcentral's name for it is "partial 16S ribosomal RNA". It matches the Rfam family "Bacterial small subunit ribosomal RNA", at positions 523 to 918 of the family's 1533-position model. The record is from RNAcentral.
AUACGGAGGAUGCAAGCGUUAUCCGGAUUUAUUGGGUUUAAAGGGUGCGUAGGCGGUUUGCUAAGCGGGAGGUGAAAUGCCGGCGCUCAACGUCGGAAGUGCCUCCCGAACUGGUGGACUUGAAUGACUCUGCCGUGGGAGGAAUGUGUAGUGUAGCGGUGAAAUGCUUAGAGAUUGCACAGAACACCGAUUGCGAAGGCAUCUCACGAAGGGUUGAUUGACGCUGAGGCACGAAAGCGUGGGGAUCAAACAGGAUUAGAUACCCUGGUAGUCCACGCAGUAAACGAUGAUGGCUAACCGCUGGGCUUAUCAGUUCAGUGGCCAAGCGAAAGCGAUAAGCCAUCCACCUGGGGAGUACGACCGCAAGGUUGAAACUCAAAUGAAUUGACGGGG